RNAcentral lists this ribosomal RNA (727 nucleotides) under uncultured bacterium. Its description in RNAcentral is "bacterial SSU rRNA". It matches the Rfam family "Bacterial small subunit ribosomal RNA", at positions 518 to 1237 of the family's 1533-position model. The record is from RNAcentral.
CGGUAAGACAGAGGAUGCAAGCGUUGUUCGGAAUCAUUGGGCUUAAAGAGGGUGUAGGCGGCUGCGUAAGCGUUGUGUGAAAGCCCACGGCUCAACCGUGGAAUUGCAUGGCGAACUGCGUAGCUUGAGGUCGGUAGAGGUGCCUGGAACUCUAGGUGGAGCGGUGAAAUGCGUAGAUAUCUAGAGGAACGCCAGAGGCGAAAGCGGGGCACUGGGCCGAUUCUGACGCUGAGACCCGAAAGCGUGGGGAGCAAACAGGAUUAGAUACCCUGGUAGUCCACGCCGUAAACGAUGCACACUGGGUGCCGGUAUCUCUGACGAUUUCGGCGCCGAAGCAAAAGUGCUAAGUGUGCCGCCUGGGGAGUACGGCCGCAAGGCUAAAACUCAAAGGAAUUGACGGGGGCUCACACAAGCGGUGGAGCAUGUGGCUUAAUUCGAAGCAACGCGAAGAACCUUACCUGGGUUUGACAUCCAUGGAUACGGACGGGUAAUGCCGCGAGUUGCCUUUCGGGGUGAAACAUGGACAGGUGUUGCACGGCUGUCGUCAGCUCGUGCUGUGAAGUGUCGGGUUAAGUCCCUUAACGAGCGAAACCCCUAUCGUCAGUUGCCAGCGCGUUAUGGCGGGGACUCUGGCGAGACUGCCGGCGUUAAGACGGAGGAAGGUGGGGACGACGUCAAGUCAUCGUGGACCUUAUGCCCAGGGACGCACACGUGCUACAAUGGCGCG